This 8950-nucleotide long non-coding RNA is filed under the name Malus domestica (apple). RNAcentral's name for it is "long non-coding RNA (MDOM_LNC007981)". The stretch from base 4027 to 4135 matches the Rfam family "Small nucleolar RNA snoR97". The record is from RNAcentral. Lineage: Eukaryota; Viridiplantae; Streptophyta; Magnoliopsida; Rosales; Rosaceae.
GGGGAUGACGUUUUCGAAUUAUAGAAGGCAUUGCUCAAGGAGUACUUUAUAUCCACAAGUACUCGAGAUUGAAAAUCAUCCACAGGGACCUAAAAGCAAGUAACAUAUUGUUGGAUGAAGGCUUGAAUCCCAAAAUUUCAGACUUUGGAAUGGCAAGGAUUUUCGGGAUAAAUCAGAUUGAAGCAAAUACAAAUAGGGUUGUUGGCACAUAGUAAGUCUACGUAUAUCUGGUACAUGUUUUCAUUGAAGUAAUGUUCUAUUGCUUACUUCUCUACAUACUGUCAAUUCAUGAGUAGCGGCUACAUGUCACCCGAGUAUGCGAGAUAUGGUCAUUUCUCUGAGAAAUUAGAUGUAUUCAGCUUUGGAGUGUUGUUGUUGGAGAUUGUAAGCAGAAAGAAUGCUGUUUUUUAUCGCUUUGAACAUUCACCAACUCUUGCUGGAUGGGUAAGUACUGAAAAAUGAUUCUAAAACUCAUGGUCAUCCUUUCUUUAAGCCUUCCAAAUUCGCAAAUGACCGUAAACUCAACAUUUUAAUCAGGGAUGGGAGUUGUGGAAAGAAGGAAGAGGAAUGGAGGUGAUUGAUGAAUCAGUAAGGGAAACAUGCCAGCUCUAUGAAGCUUUGAGGUGUAUCCAUGUAGGGUUUUUGUGUGUUCAAGAAGCUCCAGCUGAUCGACCAACAAUGUCUUCGGUAAUUCGUAUGUUGCAGGGCAAUGAAUCUACAUCUCUUCCACCUUCCAAAGAACCUGCCUUUUCAACACACAGAAAUUCCAGUCAUGUUCGCUCUUCUCAAACGCCUACCAUUUAUUCCCACAAUGCAGUCACCAUGAGUUUGCCAGAAGGUCGAUAGGCGUUGGAAGAGCAAUGACUGGCAAGCAGUUGAGAAAAUAAUAUAGUAUAUUAGAAUAAACAUCCCGACAACUAGCAGUUUUAUACAAACACUUCGGGUUCAAUUACACAUUACUCGAGCUGUUUGUGCAUUUUAUGGUUUUUGCCCAUCCAAACUAAACCUAUAAUAGCAGCAUAUUAAAUUUAUGUUGUAUUUUUUAGCUGCAAAUGUGGGUGUAACCGUACUUCUAGAUAUGUUCCCGCCACACCUCUUGGUGCAACCGUAUUUAUAUUAAAUUAAAAUGGAAUGUCACUUGUAUCAAAAGAAUAAAGAGGAGAUUUUUUUUACAUAUUCCAACUUUCAGAAGACAAAAACUAAAAACAAAAUUGUUCUAGAACAAAGGAUUUACAUUAGUAUAACCAUAAUUGACAACAUGGGUUUUCCUAUGGUUGGAAUAGAAAAUUUGACAAUCAUCAUAUAGAAUCUACCGAAUGCAAGUUUGGCAACUAGAACUACAAGUAAACUAUGUGCCCGAUCAGUUUUCUCGUCGACGAAGAUUCGAACUUGAUGCCUCUUUCAACAUUGAAAAACAAAAUAUCACUAGAACACUUGAUGAGCCUGAUCAUGUUAAACUCAAGUUUUAUUGAUGAGAGUAUGGGCUGGUGAUGAUGAGCUCUCGGCAAGCAGCGGGGCUGCUUGGCCUCCAAGAAUAAAUGGAUUCGAACAUGCACCAGUCUGCUCAAACUAUAGAGGAACUGAAUGCACCCUGCAGAUCAAGUGUCAAUAAUCAAUCAAUUAAACAAACAGUUAGUGAAUAUCACUUCGAUCUAGAAAAUUUAAGGACCUUGAAUAGUUUCACUUACAAGCUACAACAACAAAACAAAUCAACAUAAGAGUGGAUCAACCAACGAAUGCACCAUUCUAGUUGAGUCCGAUUACCACCAAUGUAAGAGUCAAUUUUGUUACAAUUAGCACCAGUAAGGACAUCAGUUUAAUCUCGAACAAAGCUCCGCUGCCAGUUUCGGCAUUAUUGUUCUCCCCAACCUUGAAACCCAUGAUUGUGCUGAUUCUUUAUCGGGACCAGGCCAAAAAACACAAACAGAGAAAGAAAAAAAAAGGAUUAAACUUGUGUUUGAGAGAGAAAACAUGAGUAUGGUAUAUAAAAAUGUUGUAGGCAAGGUAGGUAGCAUUGUUUCUUGUUACUUUUUUCUACCUGAUUUGGCUUCCCGUAUAUUUUGGGUCCCUACGAUUGUGAAGUUACCCAUUUUGAUGCAAAAUGGAGGCAGGGUACUUAUGCUUCUUGUUUGGAGAGAUAGUUUAAUUAAAUGUGUCAUGUAUCAAAAAAGGUUUACUUUUAAAAAACAUAAACAAAGUUCAUUGAGUGAGUGACGCCACUAAAACUACGCAUACAAUGCAAAAGAGAACCUCUUGUUUGUUUGGCAGGUAAUUCCUGUUUCAAUCAACAGAGAGAUAAUGUGACUUAGUAAACAUUGGGUAGAUCAUGCUUAUAGGAGUGGUAUUGUUCAUUGCUCGUUGGCCAUCUUGCUUUAUUCCCUGAUUUUCAAAAAUAUUAUUGUGGGACAGAAACAUCAGGUUAAUUAUUGUGUGUGUCAUUAUUAUGUUAAUUUUGAUAAAAUUUAAUGUAUAUAUGAGUUAGACAAAACAACGACGAUAAUUGAUAACACUACGUAAUACUCUAACUAUGAACAUUAAAACAUUUCCCUAAUAUCACGCCGUUCUUCACGUUUUGCAUCCACACACAAGCAAUCGUGAAAGACGACAACAAUUGAUUUUGAACGUAAAUGAUGAAACUGAUGACUCAAGGAUAAACUGCAGAAUAAUGGAUCACACAUAGGCAAUCUGUAUAGUACCACGUGUCGAAAAAGUCAGCUGAAGGAUGCAGCCUACCAACAGGCUACAGGGACAUGUAAUCACGUUACUGUCCGAAGGGAAGCAGUGGGACCAACUCAGUUUCCUCAUCGAGCAAAAUAACUGAAGUUAACAAGUGUCACGCGUCCGUUAGAUAAUGACUUAUUUUAUUUUAUUUUUGUUAAUUAAUGAAUAAUACAGUUGCUCCGCAACUCACUCUCCUCUUGUUGAGUGAUUUGAGGAAGCAGUCUCUUCUCUUCUCACUUGAUCAGCCUCUCAAUUCUGGUCAACUUUUCCCCAAGGACGAUCUUAUCCUUCUUCACCAGAGCUUCAAGGGCUUUCAAUGGCCACCCUGUAGCCUCCAAGCUUCUGGUGCUCUGUACUAUCAGGUUCUCAAUUUUCUUGCUUACCAUGAUAAUUUCUUUUCGAUCGGUUUGGCAUGAGGUGAAGCCUCACAUGACCUAAAUUUUUUAAUAUAUAUACGGAGUGUACACAUAUAUUAUAUUAAAAAAGAAGAAGAUUAUUAAUCAAUAAUCAUCCCGAGCACACACAUAUAUUAUAAAUACAUAUACACAUAUAUAUUAUAUUAUAUAUAUAAAAUAGAGGAUGAAAAGUAUAAUGAGCACACAUAUAACAAUGCACGUAGACGGCACAUACAUUCAUUAUAUAAAAAAUAAAAAUCAGAAAACAAGGCAGAGAGAUGAUAGUGCAAGGAAGAUGUGUGAGGUAGUUAAAACCUUACCCAAAAUUUGGGUUUGGGAGUAAUAAUAAAAAAAAAUUAAAAAUAAAAUUCUCUUGAGGAGCGCCUAGGCGGCGCCUUCCGCCCACUCCCUGAAAACAGAGGCGGCAUCCCUCAAGCCCAGCCUCACAGGGCGCCUAGGCGCGCCCUGAGGCGAGCCUUUUAAAACAUUGGAGAAAAUGCAUGACCAGAAAAUGAGUUAGUGUUAAGCGAUUACGGGAGUUACCAUUGUCAUAUCUCAAAUUAUUAUUAUAUUGAAUAUACAGUUUCUACAGUUAGGUUGAAAUAUUUUCUAUCAUAGCAUAUAAAGACACAUUCUUUUUUGGUUUUGGUUAUAUCUCAAUGAAGUAUCAUUUUCUGAAGGCAAGUCCGGUUUAUUGAAUUUUUAGGUGUCAAUGAUGUUACAAUCCGACGUGUUUGAGGCGUAGAGGAAGUGAGAACCUGCUUUUGUGCAGGGAGAACCUACUCGUGGAAACUAUGAUCCCUUGACAGAUUCGAUGUACCUGAAUCAUCGUAGUCGUAGUUUUAGGUUGUGUGUUUUUGUUGUGUCUUGUGUUAAAAUGUGUUUUUGAGUUUCAACUAUACUCUUAUACUUUUUCAAUCAGGUGUAGGGUCUGAAAUAACUCAUAAAUUGAAGUGUUGUCUAUCAGCUUCAUCUCUUGUUACUGGUGGAGACCGGAGUCAAACAACAACACUGCACCUAAUCACACUAAUCUUGUUUCAUUUACGGUUUUGUGAUUCAUGUUAAAUUUCAUUUAAUUUGGAUUGAUGCUGCUAAUCUUUUUGUUGUCGAAGGAUUUAAACAAGAUGAUGAUUGGUGGAGAAAAAUGGCAUGGGGAAAUCAUUACCUUAGAUUAAUCAUGUCUGGAUGGGUACAGUUUGUAGGAAUUCAGACCAAAAACAGAGACAUGGAAAUGAAUAAACUUUUUGGUAAUGGGAGUCUUAAAAGUUUCAACAUAUCUUUGUUUUUGUGAUUACUUUUGUUAGUUAGACUUGUAUGGAUUGGAAAAGAUUAUGAGAAUUAACAACAUUUAAGCUCAAAACCUCUUGAACCGAAGGAAUCAUGAUCGUAGGUAACCUUAUUGAAAUAACACAUGAACCAUAAUUUAUAGUAAGCAUGAAUGCUUAGUUUGGUACAUUAGCUUGCAGUUGAAGCAAUCUAACUUGAAUGUCCUAAUCCUAACUCAUACCUCCAUGUCUUCUCGGGUUUAGGAUAUGUGAUGCCUCAAGGGUUUACACAUUGUAGACUGUAGAGCAUUGACGAAUUUGAACAGAACCGUUAUACUACCAGAAUCUUUGACAGAGGAAGAACAAUGUUCAAGCCCUUUCCAUACAUUGAAUUUUCUAUAAGUCGUUGUCGGUCCAUAUGCCAGCUAAUGAACCGUAAGAAUUGACUUAGUUGACUUACUGAUCACCAUGAAAAGGGCAUGUAGGUUAAGUUCCAGUAACAUGCAUACGGUAAAUCUUUGCCUGCCUGCUGAAUGCUUUGUGCAGCCAUGGAUACCACACCAAACUCAGAGUUUGUGUUCUCCAUUAUUUUAUUAUGUGCAUUUCUCGAGUUCCAUGUUUCCCUAGCAGCUGAUACCAUCAGCGAAAACCAAUCUCUCUCGGGUGAUCAAAUUAUUGUCUCCGCAGGUGGGAUUUUUGAGCUCAGUUUCUUCAAACCAGGUAACUCUUCAAACUUCUACAUAGGCAUGUAGUACACCAAACAAGUAGUAUCCGAGAGGACCAUUGUUUGGGUGGCAAACAGGGAAAAACCAGUUUCCGAUAAAUUUUCUUCAGUUUUAAUGAUUUCAGAUGGUAAUUUAGUCCUGUUCAACGAGUCCAAAUCCCCUGUUUGGUCAAUUUAACCUCCUCCUCCGCCACUGCACUUCUUUUGGAUACCGGAAACUUCUCGGUGUCCAGUAAUAGUUUAUCAGAGCCGUUAUGGAAAUCCUUUGAUAAUCCAAUGCAUACUUGGCUGCCAGGAGCUAGAAUUGGGUUUAACACUGUUAUCCAACAAACCCAAAUAUUUACUUCACGGAAGAGUUCAAAGGAUCCUGCACAGGGUCUUUUCUCGCUUGAGUUGGACCGAACGGAAGCAAUGCGUAUCUUCCCAUACUGUGGAUCCUACAGUAUUGGAUAUGCAUUGCUUCCGUGACGCAUACUUCACCUACCCUCUUUAUGAUCCAAAGAUAUUUUCUUGAUUCGUGACGCAUACUUCGGGGAAAAUUCAACAGUUGUCAUUGUGGGACAUACCGUGGAAUUUGGUUUGGUCCCAACGGAGAAAACAAUGCGAAGCUUAUGAUUUGUGCGGUGAGCACCCUCGCCUAUAAUUGCUUGAACGGUUUUGAGCCGAAGGCGAAGAGAGACUGGGAUUUAAAGGACUACCCUGGUGGGUGUUCAAGAAAAAAAAGAUCUGCAGCUGAGGCAAUCUAACUCGAACAUUUCCUAAUCCUAUAGCUCCAUCUCUUCUUGUGUUCGAUACGUGAAUCCUCAAGGGUUUACACAUUGUAGAGCAUUGAUGAAGUUGAAUAGAACCGUAAUACAUUGAAUUUUCUACAAAGACGGUAAGAUCCCACAUUGCCCAGGGAAAUGAUCCUUAUAUGUAUAUUCUCAUCCCUACCUAGCAUGAGGUCUUUUGGGAGCUCACUGGCUUCAGGUUCCAUUGGAACUUCGAAGUUAAGCGAGUAGCGCGCGAGAUCAAUCCCAUGAUGGGCGACUGGGAAGUUCUCGUGUGAGUUCACAGAAACAAAACCAUGAGGACGUGGUAGGGAUCCAAAACGGACAAUAUCGUAUUACGGUGGUGGAGCGGGCCCGAAAUGUGAUGGACCCCCGGGCCGGGAUGUGACAAAGACUUUGUUCAUAUGCCAGCUAAUGACAGAAUGUGAAGGGUUGAAUAGUUGAUUUAGUUGACUUGCAAUGACCACCAUGAAAAGGGCAUAUAGGUUGAGUACAGUAACAUGCACACGGUAAAUCUUUGCCCACCUGCUGAAUUCUUUGUGCAGCCAUGGAUACCAAACCAAACUCAGAGUUCGUGUUCUCCAUUAUUUUAUUAUGUGUAUUUCUCAAGUCCAAUGUUUACCUAGCAGCUGACACUAUCGGUGAAAACCAAUCUCUAUCUGGCCAUCAAACCAUUGUGUCUGCAGGUGGGAUUUUUGAGUUAGGUUUCUUCAAACCUGGUCAGCUUUCAAACUACUAUAUAGGCAUAUGGUACUCCAAGCAAGUAGUAUCUGAGAUGACCGUUGUUUGGGUAGCAAAUAGGGAAAUACCAGUAUCUGAUAGAUUUUCUUCGGUCUUGAGCAUCUUAGAUGGUAAUUUAGUUCUCUUGAACCAGUCCAAAACCCUGGUUUGGUCAACAAAUUUAAACUCCACCACCACUUCUGGUUCUUUACAAGCAGUUCUUUUGGAUAGUGGAAACUUUGUCUUGAGAGCGGGGUCUAGUAACAAUACAUCAGAGCCUUUAUGGCAAAGCUUUGAUCAUCCAACCCAUACUUGGCUACCAAGAGGUAGACUUGGAUUCAACAAAAUUACAAAUCAUACCCAAACUCUCACUUCAUGGAAGAAUUCGGAAAAUCCUGCACCAGGUCUUUACUCUCUUGAGCUAGCCCCGGACGAAAGCAGUUCAUAUAUCUUAUUGUGGAAUAGGUCUAAACAGUAUUGGAUCAGUGCACCAUGGAAUGAAAGUUCACAUAUUUUCAAGGUGGCUCCUGAAAAUCAAAUGUUCAAUUAUAGUUAUGUUACGAAUGAGAACGAAAGGUAUUUCACCUAUUCUCUUUACGAUCUAAAAACUGUAUCUCGAUGCUCCUUGUCUGUCUCGGGCCAGAUUCAGCAACUAACAUGGUUGGAGAAGCAGUGGACUUUGCUUUGGUCUCUACCAUUACAACAGUGUGAUGUUUAUGCUUUUUGUGGGGCUUUCUCUAGUUGCAAUCCCACAUCCUUGGACAACUGCAAAUGUUUGAAGGGCUUUGAGCCAAACCGGCAGAGUGAUUGGGACUUGCAGAUUUAUUCUGGUGGGUGUUCAAGAAGAACCAGUAUGCAGUGUGGGAAUGCUGCUAGUGCGAAUGGGACGGGUGAUGGGUUAUUGGGAGACGAGUUUCUAGAAAUACAUAGUAUUUCAUUGCCUGAAAAUAACCAAUAUGGAUACGCUCUUGGUAUCGAAAGUUGUAGAUCAGCCUGUUUAAAUGAAUGCCAUUGCACUGCUUAUGCUUAUGAAAGCAACAGUUAUUGUUCAAUAUGGCAUGGAGAUGUUUUUCUGCCAGAGCUUGUAGCAAGUGACGGUGGUGGAAGAACUUUAUACAUCAGAGCUGCAGCUUCUGACAUUAAGAAAAAACGUAAUAAGAGAGUGAUUAUUCAUGUCUUACUUGGAGCCGUUAAUCUUAAUGUUGUCCCAGUGAUUUUUUUCUUUUCUUUGCAGGUUUAAUUAAGCCGUCCCUUGUGAUUGCAAUUGUCACAACAGUCACAGGUUUGCUUCUUGUCAUUUUUGGCUAUUUCUUAUGGAAGAAGACAGUGGGAAAGAAAAGAGAGCAAAGGAAUAGAUAUGGUGAGACUAAAAGUAAAUUUGCUGCUGGAGGUGAAAACAACGAUGCAGAACUGCCGAUCUUUGGUUUAAGGGCUAUAAUAGCUGCUACAAACAACUUCGCUGAAGCUAAUAAACUCGGAGAGGGAGGAUUUGGCCCUGUCUACAAGGUGACACUUCCACUGUGUACUCUAAAUACUAAAACAUUUUUCUCCUCAUGCACACUUCUUGUGUAUUUAUGACCUUUGGAUUGAAUAAUUCCAAUGAGAUGAAUCACGGGGCAAAGUACACAUGGGUGUGCAGAAGGACAAAAAAGAGUGUUCGAAAAUAAUUUCUCCUUUCAGAAACAUGACCGUUCCUUUUUACUUCUCUUACAAUUUCUUCUCUUGUGCGAUUUUCUUCCUCUAUGCAGGGAAUUUUGGCUGAAAAUCAAGAAGUAGCCAUAAAAAGGUUAUCAAAAAAGUCAGGUCAAGGACAACAGGAGUUCAUGAAUGAGUUAAAACUUAUUGCCAAGCUCCAACAUACCAAUCUCGUUAGGCUCUUGGGUUGCUGUCUUGAAGAGGAGGAAAUGAUAUUGAUCUACGAGUACAUGCCCAAUCGGAGCUUGGACAAACUUUUGUUUGGUAUAUAUAUGCUAAUGACUUAUGAUUUUUUCUGCAAAUAUAUUGCUUUCCUUGUGUUUAAAUGCCGUGUACUGCAAGAUCAAAUGCACUGUGUCCAACAUUUUAUCUAAAAUGAAAAGAAAAACAUUUGCUCAUUUUUCUUCAUGGUUUGUCCAAUCAGAUGCAUCUGAAAAAAGAGAAUUAGAUUGGGGAAGACGUUUUCGAAUUAUAGAAGGCAUUGCUCAAGGAGUACUUUAUAUCCACAAGUACUCUAGAUUGAAAAUCAUCCACAGGGACCUAAAAGCAAGUAACAUACUGUUGGAUAGAGCCUUGAAUCCCAAAAUUUCAGACUUUGGAAUGGCAAGGAUUUUCGGGAUAAACCAGACUGAAGCAAAUACCAAUAGGGUUGUUGGCACA